GCAAGUCGAACGAAGGCUUCGGCCUUAGUGGCGCACGGGUGCGUAACGCGUGGGAAUCUGCCCUUGGGUUCGGAAUAACAGCGAGAAAUUGCGGCUAAUACCGGAUGAUGUCGUAAGACCAAAGAUUUAUCGCCCAAGGAUGAGCCCGCGUUGGAUUAGCUAGUUGGUGGGGUAAAGGCCCACCAAGGCGACGAUCCAUAGCUGGUCUGAGAGGAUGAUCAGCCACACUGGGACUGAGACACGGCCCAGACUCCUACGGGAGGCAGCAGUGGGGAAUAUUGGACAAUGGGCGAAAGCCUGAUCCAGCAAUGCCGCGUGAGUGAUGAAGGCCUUAGGGUUGUAAAGCUCUUUUACCCGGGAUGAUAAUGACCGUACCGGGAGAAUAAGCUCCGGCUAACUCCGUGCCAGCAGCCGCGGUAAUACGGAGGGAGCUAGCGUUGUUCGGAAUUACUGGGCGUAAAGCGCACGUAGGCGGCUUUGUAAGUCAGAGGUGAAAGCCUGGAGCUCAACUCCAGAACUGCCUUUGAGACUGCAUCGCUUGAAUCCGGGAGAGGUGAGUGGAAUUCCGAGUGUAGAGGUGAAAUUCGUAGAUAUUCGGAAGAACACCAGUGGCGAAGGCGGCUCACUGGACCGGUAUUGACGCUGAAGUGCGAAAGCGUGGGGAGCAAACAGGAUUAGAUACC
This 683-nucleotide ribosomal RNA is filed under the name Sphingomonas sp. Z189. RNAcentral describes it as "bacterial SSU rRNA". It matches the Rfam family "Bacterial small subunit ribosomal RNA", at positions 57 to 786 of the family's 1533-position model. The record is from RNAcentral. Lineage: Bacteria; Pseudomonadati; Pseudomonadota; Alphaproteobacteria; Sphingomonadales; Sphingomonadaceae.